GAUGAACGCUGGCGGCGUGCUUAACACAUGCAAGUCGAACGAAGCACUUCAUAAAGCUUGCUUUAGGAAGUGACUUAGUGGCGGACGGGUGAGUAACGCGUGGGUAACCUGCCUUACACAGGGGGAUAACAGUUAGAAAUGACUGCUAAUACCGCAUAAAACAGCAGAGUCGCAUGACUCAACUGUCAAAGAUUUAUCGGUGUAAGAUGGACCCGCGUCUGAUUAGCUUGUUGGUGGGGUAACGGCCUACCAAGGCGACGAUCAGUAGCCGGCCUGAGAGGGUGAACGGCCACAUUGGGACUGAGACACGGCCCAAACUCCUACGGGAGGCAGCAGUGGGGAAUAUUGGACAAUGGGCGAAAGCCUGAUCCAGCGACGCCGCGUGAGCGAUGAAGUAUUUCGGUAUGUAAAGCUCUAUCAGCAGGGAAGAAAACGACGGUACCUGACUAAGAAGC
RNAcentral lists this ribosomal RNA (455 nucleotides) under uncultured bacterium. Its description in RNAcentral is "bacterial SSU rRNA". It matches the Rfam family "Bacterial small subunit ribosomal RNA", at positions 28 to 491 of the family's 1533-position model. The record is from RNAcentral.